GCCUUUGUGGUGUAGUGGUCAGCACGCUUGACACGUAUUCGAGAGGUCCGUGGUUCGAGUCCCGACGAGGACA
Stegodyphus mimosarum is the source of this 73-nucleotide non-coding RNA. Lineage: Eukaryota; Metazoa; Arthropoda; Arachnida; Araneae; Eresidae. The record is from Rfam.